RNAcentral lists this ribosomal RNA (378 nucleotides) under uncultured beta proteobacterium. Its description in RNAcentral is "bacterial SSU rRNA". It matches the Rfam family "Bacterial small subunit ribosomal RNA", at positions 9 to 418 of the family's 1533-position model. Lineage: Bacteria; Pseudomonadati; Pseudomonadota; Betaproteobacteria. The record is from RNAcentral.
GAGUUUGAUCCUGGCUCAGGACGAACGCUGGCGGCGUGCUUAACACAUGCAAGUCAAGGGGUAGCAAUACCACUGGCGCACGGGUGAGUAACGCGUAGAUUAUCUGCCCCUAUCUCCGGAAUAACAUCAAGAAAUUGGUGCUAAAAACGGAUGAGGCACAAUGUGUCAAAGGUAACGGAUAGGGAUGAGUCUGCGUCUGAUUAGCUAGUUGGUGAGGUAACGGCUCACCAAGGCGACGAUCAGUAGCUGGUCUGAGAGGACGAUCAGCCACACUGGAACUGAGACACGGUCCAGACUCCUACGGGAGGCAGCAGUGAGGAAUUUUGCACAAUGGAGGAAACUCUGAUGCAGCCAUUCCGCGUGAGUGAAGAAGGCCUU